UGCUGGCUCUCAGUAGUGCAAAUGGAGUGAGGAUGAUCGUGUGUCGGGGGACGGCCGCUCGUGGAAUUGACGCAGCAAAAUGGGCGACCGAGCCAGGGGCCUCACCAUCGACGGCGUGCGGCUCAUCAAGGACCUCAAGGUGGUCGAGCUCAAGGCCGAGCUAGAGCGCCGAGGCCUAUCCAAGUCGGGCAGCAAGAAGGAACUGGUGGAACGUUUACGGAGUAGUGUACAAUUUGAAAACACAAAGUCCAAGGCAACAGCUGCUAUAAGUGAGGAGGAAGUUCCCAAUAGAUGGUUGCAAAAUGAAGCCAACUUAGACAACGACUUUAUCCGCGAAUAUUUUCAGUCCCAGCAGGCCCUCUACAGGCAGCAAAUUGAAGCUAGAAGACAGUAUAGAGAAACCAGUGGAGAAGGGGCAGCACCAUCAACUCCAGCAGCGGCUCUGCCCUCAGUCCAACAGGCGGCCCUUGGGGGCUCUCAGCAACCAGGCAAAGCCACUCCCUCAUCCCACAGCACCUCUCCAGCAUCUUCAUCAACAGCAGCAGCUGGAGGAGGAACAACCAGUGUUGGUCGAGUGCACAUACAUCCUGUGAGCAAAACUACUCCAGAUUUAACUGCGAAAGCAAGCUCAGGUCCUGCUCACAAGCCAUCCCCAAGCCCCUCUGUCAGAACCUCCUUAGCUGCUGGCGUAACCUCACUGUCAUCUGGCGGACAAGCACCAGCGGCUAAAGAGGGUGCUGCAAAGGCUUAUGCAAACACAGUGGUUGGUACUGCACCUCGUAUAACUAGUGGUGAAUCUUCGGUACCUUUGACCACUCGAACACCGCCUAGAGAAAAGCCACAGACUCAACUUACCAUUAAGGUUAAAUUAAAGAAUGAUGCAACAGCAGUAACCACCCCACAAACACCCUCAACAUCAUCAAGUUCCAGUAGACCUAGUAGAAGUUCAGCACGUGCUGCUCGAGAGCUCAGUAGAGUCUCACUCGAAGACUCAGAGGAGGAGGAUGACUCUGAGGGAAGGGAGGAGCGUCAGCCACCUGUGAGGCGUUCCAGGAAGCGCUCAGCGCGGCACUCGCAGACCCCAGAGGAUCCUGACUUUGUCGCAGCGGGCACCAGCCACUUGAGCAGUCCCCCGAGCAGUGAUCUCAAAGACAGAGUGCCGUCUCUUAGGAUUAAGUUACCUGAACCUGUGCCUAAUGUGAAUUUAAGUGUUUCAACAACAGUUGAUGAAAAACCAAAGAAAAGAAUAGAGAGUGUAUCUAUUAAUAGGAAAGAACCUAAUAGUUUAUUGGAUGCAAAGUGCAGACGCCCUGUUCAUAGCAUUAGGAAGCACGUGAAUGACCCUCCACAAGACAUUGAAGGCUCGCUCAACAGAGAGACCUUAGUACCUGAUGUAAGUGUUAGAUCCGCCGGUGAUAAUCUGAAAAAUCCAUGUCUUCAGGAAGGACCGAAACCCCCAGGGAAAAGCGGAGGCAGUGUUGGUGAUUCCAAGAACUUGAAAGAUACAUCGGUCAAACCUGAUUCUCCUGUGCCAUUAGACUGGUUGAAAAGAUCGCUAAGGACUAACCCUAAAAAACACGAACCCAGUGAGGCCGGUUCAAAUUCACAGGGACCAGACUAUGCAAGUUUACAACCAACGGUUUCGCUGAGACGUAUAGAGGCUGUACCCAGCACAGAGAGACAAAUUGCCAAAGAUGAACCAGUAGUGAGUCCUGUUAGCUUGAGUUGGAAAAGCCCAAGUGCUAGUGAAAGUCAAGAACCAGAAAGAAAAGCAGAAAGAGAAAGUUCUACGAGGAGAGAGAAUACGAGAAAUCAGUUGGAAAGCAAAUCUGGAAAUAAACUAAGUGCAGAGGAAAGAUUAGAGGCUUACAGUUCCAUCACUGUAUCAAAAGUUGAUACUCUAAAAAGAAAAGAACCGAGUGAUUUGAAUACCAGUAAAGGAGUAGAGUCGUCAACAUUAAGAACACUCCUUACAGGUGAAAGUAAAGAUAUUGUUAUAGUAGCUAACAAAAACAAAUCUGCAGCUGUUGAAGCACAAGACCAGCCUGACCAGAAGCAUUUGCCCAGUUUGAAAAGUCCUCAACAGAGAUCAAAAAGCACAGAAGACCUAGGUGUUAGUGCAUUAAGUUUGGUAAUAGUGCCCCCAGCAGAGAGUUUGUCCAGCACCAAACAGAGUGUAGGAAGAACCGUUGGGGAAACUCAAGUUAAAACUGUGAUAUAUGAGUCCAGUGAUCCAGAAUGGAAAACUGAUAGUACAAAGCCACAUUCUGAUUGCAAAUUCUCAAAAGAAACUGCCGAAAAGAAGGAACCUGACAAACACACUCAGGUUGCUCAAGACGUCACUCAAGGGCCAAAUGUUAAAAGGGACCCCAGCGUUAUAGAGGAAAAUUCAAAAACAGGGCUUGAAUGCAGCACUUCAGGUGGAACAACAGUUGCAUCUGGACACAAGGCAGCUAGUCUACCAACUGGUCCACUCAAAACAAAGAUCUGGGAAAAGUUGCUGACAACAGCACAGAAGAAAGACGUUUCCAAAGACACCCCAAAAGACUUGACCAAAAAGGAGGAAAAAGAGGAAACUUCUCAAGUUCAGCAGACUGACCAGCAUAUAAAAACAGAAACUGAUGUAAAGAAAGAGUUUGACAAAGAUCAAGAGACAACAGAUGAGACUUGCUCUAGCCAAGGAACUGAAAGCUUAGAUAAGCCAACUGAACAUCACGCUCAAGCCACAGAUGUAAAGGCAGUUGUGAUAACCAACACCCAGAUAACUGAAGCUGUGCACAAACCUGGUGAGUUGCUAGAGAAGAACACCAGAAAACCAAAUCUCAAAAGUGAGAAAGGAGAUGCUGCCCAAGAAACCAGCACAAAGGAAGAACUGAAAGUGUGUUCAUUAUCUGGAGCUCAGCAGGUGCCCCAGAAGGAUACCCUUACUUCAGGAACCAAAAGGGAAGUACUUCCUGAAACCCCAAAAGCCCCUGUAGUAAAUACUCUUGGCAAACCAGCACCUGUUGCAAAAGCAAAAUUGAUUCCAAAUUUAAAAACAUCUGUUACGGUUUCAACUGCAAGUGAAACUCCAGCCUCUACAAGUUGGAGAAAGGAAACAGUUUUUAAGAUAGAGGAGACUGAACCAGUUUCAGAAGAGGAAGUCAAGGCAGGUGCCCCAUCUAAACAGGAGAAAUUAGGGGAAGCCAGUAAGGAACCUAAAAACAAAAGCACAGAUAUCCAGAUCCAUAGAAAAGAAACUCUUGAACCAGUUACUGACAAGCCUCUGAAGGAAGAGCAGACUCUUCCAGAUUCAUCAGAUUCAGAUAAAAGAGAGCAAUCUGAUAAAAGUCAGACAAGCAAGAGCAAAUGGAAUAAAGCCUCCAAGGAAAGUCCAUCUGAACAGGAAUCAGACACAGAGAAGAAGCCAGACUUGGAAUCACAACCAGACCCCACAACAACACCAGUUCCAGAAAAGUUACUGCCUCCAGUUGCAAAAAGAUCACAGGCUGAUAGCAAGAGUGGGUUACAAUCUGAACCUAAAGUUGAACCUCCUAAAAAGAUAACCAGCGUUGAAUCAACAAAGCUUUUGGAAGACAGAGGAAAGUUUGCCCCUUGCCCAGCAGAUACAGAGGAUCAGCAGGUUAACCCAUCUGUAGAGAGCAAGGAACAAAUUGAUCCUGAGCCGUGCAAGGAAUCUGGUGUGUCCCAGGAACUAAGUUUUGUAAAAGUAGGAAAACUUGAAAGGCCACUGCCUACAGAUACCAGCUUAAAAGAAACUAGAGAAGCAGAGGAAAAGGCAGAAAAUCAGCCAUUUGGCCACAACCUAGAUAAAGUAAAUGUCUCAAGCAGUGAGAAGGAGAGAUCGCAGAUAGUGACUAGUACAGAAGGAAGGAUUAAUGAAAUACCUGUUUCAAGCCAACACAGAUUUUUAGCAUUUGAAACUGCUAAGAAAGAAGGAACUGAUUUGAGAGAGCUAGCAAGUAUUGAGAAAGAUCAGACACAUCAAGGUACUACUGUAAGUCCAAGAAGUCUAUCUGUUACAAGCCAAAUAACUGAGUGUAAAGAAGAUCCAACUACAGCCAGUAAAGUAACAUCUUGUGAAGAAGAGUCAGUUACAAAAGUCAAAGUAGAGGCUAGGAAAAAGGAACCAGUCUCAAUUUCAGAUCGCACACAUACUAAGAGUGAACACUUAAACAAAGUUUCAGGUGUGAAAGAUCCUCCUGUUUCCAGUAAAUUAAAGACUUCUGAAAACACUACAGUUUCUUCAAGCAAAGAUACUCUUCUUAAGAGAGAAGAACCAGUCCCAGCAGAUGAAGUUGACCUCCCUAAGAGAGAAGAACCAGCUCCAGCAGAUAAAAGUGAUUCACAGCUCACAAGCAAAGUAAUAAACAGCAAAGAAGAACCAGCAGUAUCAAGCAAACUUUCAGCAAUCAAAGCUGCAAGUAUUGAACAAAAUCCAUCAUCUGUAAUAGAAGUUACAUCUUGUGUGACAGAUUUCACUACUGAAAAGUCAGAAAGUGAGAAGAAAACAGCCCUCACUUCAGAAGAUUCUGUUAAGAAAGACCCGACUGUAACAUCUGAUAGUGAGAAAGAAUCGCCUCUGACAGCUAACGCUUCCAGCGGGGAAAAACAACCAGAAGUCUCGUCAGGAGUCUCUAAAUUCAAGGAAAAAACAUCUCUCACAGCAAAAGUUACCGAGCUAGAAGAAAAACCAGUUAUUACCACUAGUGCUGGAAAAUCUGUUACAACAGAAGUUCAGAGUCAAGAGGAAAAAACAUCCGUCUUAUCAGAAGUUUCUGCUGAAAAGAAAGGGCUUGCUGUCACAGGUGAACUCCAAAUCUGUAAAAAAGAAGCACCAGUUAUAUCAGAAGGUCUUAGUAGUGAGAGAGAACCAUCAGUGACAUCUGAACUCUCCAGUACUCAACCAUCUCUUCCAGGUAAAGUUCUCAGUCAGGAUAAGAAUAUCAUCGUCACAUGUGAAGUUUCAAGUAAUCAGCAAGAAUUACUCCCCACAACUGACAUUUCUAGUGGUGAAAAAGGAAUCACAUCCGAAGUUCUUAAGAGUGAGAAAGAGCCAUCUGUAUCCUCUAAAGUUACACCAGUAUUUCUCACUAGAAAAGAAAAACCAAUACAGACACCUGAAGUUCCCAGUGUUCAGAGAAAACUGUCCGAAACCUUUAAAACUUCAAGUAACAAGGAAGAACCAGCUGACACACUUGAAUUUCCCAGUAAUGAGAAAGAACUGAUUAGAACUAAAGCUCCAAGUAAUGAGAAGGAAUUAGCUGUAACAGGUGAAGCUCCCAUUAGUGAGCAAGAAUUAGCUACAAAAUCUAAAGCAGACUCUGGUGAGAAAGAACCUUCUGUAAAAUUGCAAGACUCCCCAAGUGAGAAAGAACCAGCUGUAAAAUCUGAAGCCUCUACUAGUGAGAGAGAACCAGCUGUACAACUGCAAGACUCCUCAAGUAAGAAAGAACCAGUUGUAGAAUUGAAAGCUGCCUCUAGUGAGAAAGAACCAUCAGUAAAAUCUGAAGUCUCUACUAGUGAGAAAGAACCAGCUGUAAAACUCCAAAAAUCCGCAAGUGAAAAAGAACCAGCUGUAGAAUUAGAAGCGGCCUCUAGUAAGAAAGAACCAUCGCUAAAAUCUGAAGCUUCUACGAGUGAGAAAGAAUCAGCUGUACAAGCACAAGAAUCCCCAAGUGAGAAAGAACCAGCGCUAGGAUCAAAAGCUGCCACAAGUGAGAAAGAACCAUCAGUAAAAUCUGAGGCCUCAGCUAGUGAGGAAGAACCAUCCAUAAAACCAGAAAACUCCCCAAGUGAGAAAGAACCAGCUGUAGGAUCAAAAGCUGCCACUAGUAAGAAGGAACCUGUGACUAAGAAAGAACCAAGUGUCGCAUCAGAAGUUCCCAUUAGUGAGAAAGAACCACAGUCAGCAGUCACAUCUGAGAACGCUCCAAAAGAUAAGAAAGAACCAACUACAACCUGCAAAACAUUCAACACUAAGGAAGAAUCAGUUGAAGAUUGUAAAAAGAAGGAACAAACCGUAACAGACCUACUAAGUGAUCAAGAACCAGCUGUGAAAUUAGAAGUUUCAGAAAACCAGAAAGAACCAGCUUUAGAAUCAAAAGCUUCUGAUAGUGAAAAAGAACCAGUGACAAAGGGAGAAGCUACUGUCACAUCAAAAGUUCCCGGUAGUAAGAAAGAGCCACUUCCUGUGGGGACAACUGAGAACACUCAGAAAGAAUCAGAGGUCACACGUGAAGUUGCAGUCUGUCCACCCCCAGACUCUCAAAUUAGUUUCACAGAGGCCAAAGCAUCUAACAUUGUUCGUGGUGUAAAGGCUGAAAGUGCAAAGGAAUCAGAGGAACCAAAGGAACCACAAAAAGUUCCAGGAGCAGAGACAGACCUUGCAAAAACCAGUGUUGAGGAAGUUAUACCUGAGGAAGUCUGUUCUGAGAGUGGUGCUGAACCAGAAGGAAACAGUCAAACUGCGUCAGAAGGUCUGCCCCUCCCACCUGUCCCUAGCCAUUUGAACCAGUCUUUUAAAGCUCCAGUAAAUGAGACCAAGUCUUUUUUAGAAGCAGAGGUUUCACUUGAUUCCAUACAGUCUGACUUGGAAGAUAGAACUUCAGAUUGCCACAAACCUGUAUCAGGUAAGCAAGGAGUAGCAUCACAAGAGGAAGGUUCAUCUGUUGUGGCUGUAGAUAAUCAUAAGGAAAAGGAAUCAAAAGAAGACCCUGUAGAGUGUCACAAAGAGCUCUCUAUCAAAGUAGGCCUAUCAUCACAAGACCUGAAAACUUUAAAUAACCUCAAAGAUCCUUACACAGAAUCAAAGGUUCCAAAUUGCCAGAGAGUCCUAUCCUCUAGCCAGGGAAAUUUGAUUUGUGGUAUUGAGAAGCUAAAAGUCCAAGAAAAAACACUUGGCAAGUCUACAGCUAGGCAAGAUAAUCAACAGAUUUCAGCAGUAGAUUUACUCGCUUCAAAGUCAGUUGACAAACAGCAAGCUGAAUCUAAAGUUUCAUGGCAAGGAAAUGCUGAGGAGGAUUCUCCCAAAAAUACCAAGGCAUCCAAAGCAUUAGAAUCAAAACUUUCUAAGGAAUCGUGUGUAGAAGAGGGCCUAUCUCAUGUUGAAAAAGUACAAGCUUUAAAGUCUGUUACUGAUAGGAGCCCAGAAAUCGAACUUGGAAGUAGUACUGUCUGUAUUUCAAAACAAAAAGAGUGUCAAGACCUACCUUCACGAUUAGAAGAUAAAUUAGAAAAAAGAGAUACUCCCAUCUUGAAACCAAGUCCAGUUGAUAAAGAUUGUCUCAAUUUCUUUGAGGAUAUUACAAUUCAAGAGAGUUCAUUAUCAUCUAAGAAGAGUGAAUCUCAUCAGGACGACAAACCUGACAAUUCAGUUACAAAAGAGGAAGUAUUAUCUUUGAAGAGUGAAAGUGUUGAUUCCAGUUCCUCAAAAAAGAGUGAAGCCACUUUGACUCAAGAGAAAGACAGUAGUGAGCCAAAAGACAAGAAGUCCCCUGAUUCUGAAAUCCAAAAUCCUGUUGCAGAAGAACAAUCAAAGGCUGUACCUGUUGAGCAACAGAACUCCCAAUUUGACAGUAGAUUAUUAAAAGUCUUUCCUGAAACAUCAAAACCGAAGGAUCAAGAUUUAGGCAGUGGUAUUCACAAAUCUUCCCUCAAAGUUUCCACAACUCUUGGUAAAGUCAGGAAACUUGAGAGUGAUUCAGUAUCAUCACAUCCACCAGAUAUUCGCAAAGAUAAAAGUUAUCCAAUUACAGAAGAUAAACUUCAACAACAAGAACAGUUUGGUAAUCCCUUGGAAUUAAAUACUGAUUUAAGUGUAGAGAAUCUACGUUUAUCUAAAAGUACAGUGUAUGAUCAGAAAGACUAUAACUGUUCUCUCGGUUUUGUUAAGAACCCAACUGAAAGUAUCACAAAGGAGUUAGACACUCCAUUGAAUGCUACAGCAACUGUUGAGGCUAAAUCUUUGAGUGUAUCAGCAGCACCAUCUUAUCAGACUGAUUGUACAAGUGGAAACUCUCCCAGGGUUCCCAUAUCAGAACCCAAUCCCUUUGUCAAGAGGACAGAUACACCAGAGUGUGUCCUUAACUCACGUGCACUAGAUAAGAAAGGGCGCUUGACUUCAAAAGAUUUCUCGUCAACUGGUGUUCUAUAUCUAGCAUCAAACCCAGCCUCUGAAGAUCCAAAGAAACAAAAGGAUCUUGUGGAAAGGGAUGAGGCAACUCCUGCAGAUUUAGUAAGGAGUGGGAUCAGUGAACAAGUUGAGGAAACUGACCCUGAAUCUGAAGAGCAGACAUCGGGAACCGGAAGUGAUUCAGACUCAUCAGCAUCAGACAGUGAGAAGAUGGCUCGCAGAAGAAAGACAGAGGCCACUGCUGAGGCGGAGCUGGAGACAAGCUCCCGCAGCUCAAGGAGAAGCAAGAGGGUGAGUGAGGCAGCAGCAGCAGCAGCUGAAGAGAACAGCACUGACAGCCCUCAGGAGGUAGAAGAAACGCAGCGGGUGUCACAGAGCAGCUCUCGAAGCUUGAGCAAGAAGGACAGCAGUAAUGGUGAUGUGCAAGAGGAGGAGACUACCAGAGUAAGCCGUUCCCGACACAGCUCCAGGAGCAGAAGUGUGGACAAGGACAAGGUGGCUGACAGUGAAGGAGCAAAAACUAGAGGCCGGCAAGUGCGAAGUGAGAGCAUGGAGCAGGAGCAAGAGGAGCAGGAGCAGGCAGUGACCACAACCAGGAGGAGGAGGAAAAGUGGCAGUGUAGAGAAGGAUGCUCCCAAGACCCCGCUGAGGAGGUCGCGCCGCAUGUCACGAGGUGGAAGCACAGAACCAGAGGAAGUGGAAGAACCAGCUGAGGCAAAGUUGGUUGAUGGCGCACCCAAGAAAUUGGAAGACAUCCAAGAGUUGAAUGAAAACUGUAGUGAAACACCCAAAAAAUCAGCUGAGGCCAAGGAGCCUUGUGAGAAUUCUAGGGUAGAGUCACCAGUGAAAGAAGAAAAUGAAAUUUCCACCAAGGAUGGUCUAGGUAAGGCUCCGAACACUGCAAAGCCCAAAAGAGACUCAAAGGAGAAGGAAGAAGGUGCUGAGGCAUCAGAGAAAAAUGAAGCCAAUACUAAAGAGACAGAAGAAGCUCCUGCAGAGGAAUCUCCCAAGAAGUCACAAGAUGACUCCCUCAGCAAAUCACGUGAGAAAUCACCAAGGAAACACAGAGAAGAAUCGUCCAGCAAAGACAAAGAUGAGAGCUCGGAUGAAGGAGCAACAGGGGAAGGCCCAUCACCCCAUGAAAGAAGUUUGAGAGAGUCGGAGGAUCACAAUAGGAAGAGAAGCCUUAGUGGUAGGAGUGGUAAUGAGGAGGAAGAAGUUGAAGAGGACAGCAAAAAUUCCACAAACGACAAGAAGGAAAGCUCAAUGUCUCGGCCCCGACUGCAGAGGAACGAGGUCAAAAUGCUGGAGGUAAAGGCUGAGCAGCCAGAGAAGAGCCGCAAGGACAGGUCACGCUCCAGCAGCAGAUCAUCUAAGAGCCCCUCAAGAUCACCCUCACCAAAGAAGGCUAAGCAGGAACAGCCCAAGCUGAACAGCCGCAGAGACUCGGUUAGUGGAGAUGAGAGGGAUGACAGAAGACGCAGCACUGACAAACGGCGAGACUCCUCAAGCAGGAGCAGACGUGAUUCUGAGACUUCCAAGGAUGCAUCGAGACCGAAGCUCAACAGGAACGAGGUGAAGGUUCCAGAGGCAAAGGCUGGCAAGAUGGAGAGGAAGAGCAGGAAAGAUCGCUCACCCUCAGAAAGCAGGUCAUCCAGCGAUUCUUCCCGGUCCCCUGCCCACAAGAAGCACAAGAAACGUUCCUCUUCAUCCUCGUCCUCAAGUUCUUCUAGCAACUCCUCCCGCUCAAGAUCAGGCUCUGGCCACCGCAAGAGGUUUGGCAGUGCAAGCAAGAAGAAGCCAGAAGUUGAUUCAUCAAGGUCUUCCCCGAGCAAGAGGCAAUUCCUUGCUUCCCCCGACCGUUCCAGAGCAAAGGAUAACGGUGAGGAGUCCAAGGGACGACAUGUACCCGCGGUGCCAGAGAAGAGGAGUCGCCAUUCACGCUCUCGGUCAAGAUCUCCCAAAACCAAGACCCAUAAGCAAGAUGGAAACUCCUAUGAAUCCAAAAAGGACAGCAAAUCAUGGUCUGACAGCAGGAAGGACAGCCAAAACUCUGACAGGAGACAACAAGAGGAGGAGGAGAAGGAGAACAAGGAAACAAAGCCUAUAAUAGAUUAUUCCUCUUUCAAGUCAGUGAGGAAAGUAAGCUUAUCUCGAGGCAAGUCAAAGGAUGAAGAAGCUGAAAAAGACACGGACAAGCCAAAGAAGAGGAAGUGGGGUAAUUCAUCCUCAAGGAAAAUGUCAGUUGAUAUUUCCUCAGCUUCCCUUAAGACCAUUAUCCCAGAUGUGAAGCCCCUCCUGCCCUCGGAACUGCACAUGGGUGAAGACUCGGAACCCGAGUCUGGAGAGGCCAGUGAUGCUGAGGGACCUGAACCACCCCCCACCCUGGCUCAGGAGGUCAAGGAAGAGCUAAUGGAAGAGGGCGAGGAGGCCAGACCCAGGCGUGAGGUGCGGGAGGUUUCCCCAGUGGCAGUCAAACAGAGAAAGCGAUCCAAGUCGCCUGAGGAGAAAGCCAUGAGGAAGAUCAGGAUGUACGAAGGGCCACCGGUAAGCAAGCCGGCCGUCCCCCCUGCACGAAACCCACCUUCCAGAGUAGUGUUCAUUCAGCACCUAGUCCGGCCCUUCACCAUCAACCAGCUGCGCGAGUUGCUGCAGAGAACUGGUCGAUUAGUAGAUAAUGGUUUCUGGAUUGACAACAUCAAGUCCAAGUGCUUGGCAAUGUAUGAAAAUGAGGAUCAGGCUCAAGAAACCCGUGUUGCUCUGCAUGGUGUUAAAUGGCCAAUGUCAAACCCAAAGAAUUUGUUUGUCGAUUUUUCCACUGAGGAGGAGAUGAAAAAGAGACUAGAGGAAAAUGCUCCUCCUCCCCAGAAAGCCGUAGAAGAAAAACGAGAUGAUAAGUGGAAACGUGAAGGGCCAGUGCGUGAGUGGGACUUGGCGAAGAUAGGAGAGCGCUCGCCAGGGGAGAGGGAGCGGGAACGCGAGAGGCUGAGAAGAGAGAGGGAGGAGGAGAGAAUGAGAGAACGCCGCAAGAGCCAGAGUCCAAGUGGGGCUGAAGGUGAAAAACAGAAAAAGAAACCAGAGGAACCUCCUGCCAAGCUGCUGGAUGAUUUGUUCCGCAAAACCAAGGCACAGCCGGCUAUAUACUGGCUGCCGCUGACCACCGAACAGAUUGCCGAGAAGGAGGCGCAGCGACGCCAGAAGAUGGCUGAGGUGGAGCGCCUUCAGGCAGAGAUGAAAGCAGCCAAGGAGAAGGAAAAUGAAGAAUGGGAGAAAAUCCGAGCCGAGAGAAAGAAGGAGCGUGAAAAGGAACGUGAGAAGGAGAGGGAGAGGGAGAAGGAGCGUGAGAAGGAGAGAGAACGGGAGAGAGAGAAGGAGAAGGAGAAGAACGCUCGCAGGUCCCGCUCAAGGUCGAGGUCCCGGAGGAGGAGCCGUUCCUCAAGGAGGUCACCACGAAGGUCCCCGAGGAGGUCGCCCCGCAGGUCCCCCAGAAGGUCACCCAGACGCUCUCCCAAAAGGUCACCGAGAAGGUCGGCAGGGAAGUCUCCUCGAAGAUCACCGCAACGUUCCCGGCGUUCCGCCAGCAGGGAGUCGCGACGAUCUCGCCGGAGGAGCCGCAGCCGUUCAAGAUCCCGCACUUGAUUCCAUGAAGGCAUUUUGAUGAGGGGAGCUCACAACCAUGUGAAGGAAACAUGAAAGAGAAAGAGAGAGCUUGCAAAAUCACGUAAAUGAAUCCAAAUGCAACAAGAGGAGGAGGAGGACAAGUUACCACUACAACUGAUUGCUGGGCCCUACCGGUCCACAACUUCCUAGAAGCAGUACUGUACUAAAACAAAAGAGGCUUCAGCACACCAGCUCCGACGCACCAGUCCUCUACCACCUACAAGAAGAGCAUUGGGUGGUAAGGGAAGUGUUGAAAGCGUUAUGGGUGACGAGAGAGCUCCUGCGCUGUGAGAUUCACCGAUGACUCGUCAGGGUACCAGCGGGAACUACGAUGAUCACCAGUACUGACCAGCGUUUGUCCUAUAGCUUCCUCAUGGAAUGCCGUUCGCAAAGCUGCACAGCUUUUCUAAAUGCCUCAAGAGGCCCAAAACGUAAGGGAAAGACAGUUGUUUCCAUCCCUCGACGACCAAAUUAAUAAUGGACCGUACCUGCGGGUACUUGAAAACAUGAAUUGACAAAUUGAAGUGUUUUAUCCCUCUUGCGGAUCACGAUGAAGAGACAACACAGCAGUGAUGAAAUCAAGGCUUGUGAAUGGCUUGAAGUGAAAAGGUGAUAGCAAAUUGUUGAAGUGUGUCCGAGUUAUUUAAAGAUGCAGACAAAAAGUGAUAUAGAAAAUCUGGGUUUACCGACUUGUAUCAAUUAAUUAUUGCACUUGAUCAUGGGAGAACAUAUCCAAGCACCAAGUGCCUGGAACAAACAGUGAUGCAGUGCCGUGCAUUAGUGACUGACUGAAGGGUAAACAACCCUCUCCCCUCUGAUUGUAUGGAGUACAAAAAUUUUAGUGAUGUGUAAACCCAGGUGGAUAAGGAGAUGGACAUCUGUGGAGAAGCAUGAUGCUCUCCAGGUGUGUGAACCACAUAUAAAGUUAACACGUGCUGAUUUAUGUAGGUCUACGGAUAUAUACAUUACACAGAUAAAACUUUUCAGUUUAGAGUAUUUUGAUGUUACAUUUUCAAGUGAAUUUAUGCACUUUAGGUUUUUAUUGUUUGAGAGAGAUCUAAAGAUUUCUUCAGUUGUGAUGAAUUGUGGAUGAUUGUUUAUAAUGGAAUAAAGUAACACCCUUA
Molecule: unclassified non-coding RNA, 12918 nt
Filed under: Penaeus chinensis
Lineage: Eukaryota; Metazoa; Arthropoda; Malacostraca; Decapoda; Penaeidae
Description: microtubule-associated protein futsch-like, transcript variant X3
Source: RNAcentral